Molecule: ribosomal RNA, 465 nt
Filed under: uncultured bacterium
Lineage: Bacteria
Description: partial 16S ribosomal RNA
Rfam family: Bacterial small subunit ribosomal RNA
Source: RNAcentral
GAUGAACGCUGGCGGCGUGCUUAACACAUGCAAGUCGAACGGAAAGGCUCCUGCUUGCAGGGGUACUCGAGUGGCGAACGGGUGAGUAACACGUGGGUGAUCUGCCCUGCACUUCGGGAUAAGCCUGGGAAACUGGGUCUAAUACCGGAUAGGACGAUGGUUUGGAUGCCAUUGUGGAAAGUUUUUCGGAGUGGGAUGAGCUCGCGGCCUAUCAGCUUGUUGGUGGGGUAAUGGCCUACCAAGGCGUCGACGGGUAGCCGGCCUGAGAGGGUGUACGGCCACAUUGGGACUGAGAUACGGCCCAGACUCCUACGGGAGGCAGCAGUGGGGAAUAUUGCACAAUGGGCGCAAGCCUGAUGCAGCGACGCCGCGUGGGGGAUGACGGCCUUCGGGUUGUAAACUCCUUUCGCUAGGGACGAAGCGCAAGUGACGGUACCUGGAGAAGAAGCACCGGCUAACUACGUG